AUCUCUUGGUUCCAGCAUCGAUGAAGAACGCAGCGAAAUGCGAUAAAUAAUGUGAAUUGCAGAAUUCAGUGAAUCAUCGAGUCUUUGAACGCACAUUGCGCCCCUCGGUAUUCCGGGGGGCAUGCCUGUUCGAGCGUCAUU
This 141-nucleotide ribosomal RNA is filed under the name Melanelia huei. Its description in RNAcentral is "5.8S ribosomal RNA". It matches the Rfam family "5.8S ribosomal RNA". From Rfam's summary of the family: 5.8S ribosomal RNA (5.8S rRNA) is a component of the large subunit of the eukaryotic ribosome. RNAcentral also lists the same sequence under 2 other names. Lineage: Eukaryota; Fungi; Ascomycota; Lecanoromycetes; Lecanorales; Parmeliaceae. The record is from RNAcentral.